Small nucleolar RNA from Fonsecaea multimorphosa CBS 102226, 80 nucleotides. It matches the Rfam family "A. fumigatus snoRNA Afu_294". The record is from Rfam. NCBI's taxonomy places the organism in Eukaryota, Fungi, Ascomycota, Eurotiomycetes, Chaetothyriales, Herpotrichiellaceae.
CCUGAUGAUGAUCUCAUGUAUUUCGCUGUGUUCUUACUGAAUCCUCAUGUCGAUUAUACAUCACCUUGGAGAACUGAAAC